UCCUGGCUCAGGAUGAACGCUAGCUACAGGCUUAACACAUGCAAGUCGAGGGAACGAUAGAGAAAGCUUGCUUUUCUAGGCGUCGACCGGCGCACGGGUGAGUAACGCGUAUCCAACCUGCCCAUCACUUGGGGAUAACCUUGCGAAAGUAAGACUAAUACCCAAUGACGUCUCUAGAAGACAUCUGAAAGAGAUUAAAGAUUUAUCGGUGAUGGAUGGGGAUGCGUCUGAUUAGCUUGUUGGCGGGUAACGGCCCACCAAGGCGACGAUCAGUAGGGGUUCUGAGAGGAAGGUCCCCCACAUUGGAACUGAGACACGGUCCAAACUCCUACGGGAGGCAGCAGUGAGGAAUAUUGGUCAAUGGACGAGAGUCUGAACCAGCCAAGUAGCGUGCAGGAUGACGGCCCUAUGGGUUGUAAACUGCUUUUAUAAGGGAAUAAAGUGAGUCUCGUGAGACUUUUUGCAUGUACCUUAUGAAUAAGGACCGGCUAAUUCCGUG
Molecule: ribosomal RNA, 499 nt
Filed under: uncultured bacterium
Lineage: Bacteria
Description: bacterial SSU rRNA
Rfam family: Bacterial small subunit ribosomal RNA
Source: RNAcentral